This 304-nucleotide ribosomal RNA is filed under the name uncultured bacterium. RNAcentral describes it as "partial 16S ribosomal RNA". It matches the Rfam family "Bacterial small subunit ribosomal RNA", at positions 506 to 809 of the family's 1533-position model. The record is from RNAcentral.
CAGCAGCAGCCGCGGUAAUACGUAGGUCCCGAGCGUUGUCCGGAUUUAUUGGGCGUAAAGCGCGCGCAGGCGGAUCGGUCAGCCUGUCUUAAAAGUUCGGGGCUUAACCCCGUGAUGGGAUGGAAACUGCCAAUCUAGAGUAUCGGAGAGGAAAGUGGAAUUCCUAGUGUAGCGGUGAAAUGCGUAGAUAUUAGGAAGAACACCAGUGGCGAAGGCGACUUUCUGGACGAAAACUGACGCUGAGGCGCGAAAGCCAGGGGAGCGAACGGGAUUAGAUACCCGUGUAGUCCCUGUCUCUUAUACA